UUGGUUCGAAGGGGCAAACAAAAGUAUUUUCAAGUUCAAAUAAGGCCCAGAAUGGGGAAUAGUGAAUUUUUUUGUUUAUCCUGUGUUAUAGUCCAUGAAUUUUGUGUGCUAUAUGCAAUCAACGGUUUUUUGGCCAUUAUUUUCCUUGGACAUCCGUGACGAGCAAUUAAGUGGCGCUUAUUGAUUUGGAUGGGAAAAUGUAGAUUUUUUUCAAGUUCAAACGAGGCUAGAAUGAAAAGUAGUGAUUUUUUUUCCAUUUUUCAUGUGUUAUAGUCAAUGAGUUUUGUGUGAUAUCUGCCCCAAAGGUUUUUUGGCCCAAUUUUUUUUGGACGUUUGUGGCAACCUUUUAAAUAGCGUGCGGUGGUUCAGAGGGAUAAACGUAGGUUUUUUCAAGUUCAAACGAGUUCCAUAAUGAGAAAUAGUCAUUUUUUCAUUUUUUUAAUUAAAGUCCAUGAAUUUUGUGUGAUAUGUGCGUCCGACAUUCUUUUUGCCAAAAAAUUUCGGUGGGCAUCCAUGACGAUCUACUUAAUGGCAUGUGUUGGUUCAGAUGGGCAAAUGUAGGUUUUUCUAAUUCAAAUUAGUCUCGGAAAGGAAAUUGCAAUUAUUGCAAUUUUCAUGUGUUUUAGUCCAUGGAUUUUGUGUGAUAUGUGCGUCUGGCGAUUAUUUGGCUGAAACUUUUUGUGGGCAUCUAUGGCGAUCUAUUAAAUAGUGAGCGUUGGUUCGGAGGGGAAAAUGUAGGUAUUUUCAAGUUCAAAAGAGGUCUAAACAAGGAAAUAGAGAUUUUUCUAUUUUUUGUGUGUUAUAGUCCAUGGAUUUUAGUGAUAUGUGCGUCCAGUAAUUUUUUGUCCGAAUUUUUUUGUGGGUAUCGUGACAACCUACUUAAAUGUGUGCAUUAUGGAGGGGAAAAUGUAGGUUUUUUUCUAAUUCAAAUGAGUGUUUGACCAAGAAAUAGAGAUUUUUCCAUUUUUCAAGUGUUGUAGUCCAUGAAUUUUAUGUGAUAUGUAUACCCAAAGAUUUUCUGGCUAUCAUACUUUUUUUUUUUAAAAAUCAUACUUGAAUGUGGAAACUGGGAGAAGAAGUAAUCUAGUUUCAAUUUGAAAAUUGGUGGCAUAAGGUGGAAGGGUUCAACGACUUGGUUAGAAAUGGUGGAAUGACAUAGUGGUCGAAGGUUUCCCAGAUUUCAAACUCUGUGCCAAACUAAAAAUAUUAAAAGAUAAGCUCAAAGUAUAGAGCAAAUUCAUUCUUGGGGAACAUACUAAUAGGAAAAAAUGCACUAUUGCAUGAACUAGAAGAGCUUGAGUUAGCUCAAGAUGAUAGGUCUUGACUGAAAAUGAAAUGGUAGUGAGAGCCACAAUUCUUGUGGAACUUGAGGUGCUGGCUAAAAAUGAAGAGUCACUUUGGAGGUAGAAAUCC
This 1413-nucleotide long non-coding RNA is filed under the name Solanum tuberosum (potato). Its description in RNAcentral is "long non-coding RNA (STUB_LNC008749)". Lineage: Eukaryota; Viridiplantae; Streptophyta; Magnoliopsida; Solanales; Solanaceae. The record is from RNAcentral.